UACGGAGGGAGCUAGCGUUGUUCGGAAUUACUGGGCGUAAAGAGUACGUAGGCGGUUAUUCAAGUCAGAGGUGAAAGCCUGGAGCUCAACUCCAGAACUGCCUUUGAAACUAGAUAACUUGAAUCACGGAGAGGUUAGUGGAAUUCCGAGUGUAGAGGUGAAAUUCGUAGAUAUCGGGAGGAACACCAGUGGCGAAGGCGGUCUGCUGGGCCGUUGCUGACGCUGAGGCGCGACAGCGUGGGGAGCAAACAGG
RNAcentral lists this ribosomal RNA (253 nucleotides) under uncultured bacterium. RNAcentral's name for it is "partial 16S ribosomal RNA". It matches the Rfam family "Bacterial small subunit ribosomal RNA", at positions 524 to 776 of the family's 1533-position model. The record is from RNAcentral.